RNAcentral lists this ribosomal RNA (301 nucleotides) under uncultured bacterium. Its description in RNAcentral is "partial 16S ribosomal RNA". It matches the Rfam family "Bacterial small subunit ribosomal RNA", at positions 509 to 808 of the family's 1533-position model. The record is from RNAcentral.
UAGUCGCCGCGGGAAAACGUAGGUGGCAAGCGUUGUCCGGAAUUAUUGGGCGUAAAGGGCUCGCAGGCGGUUUCUUAAGUCUGAUGUGAAAGCCCCCGGCUCAACCGGGGAGGGUCAUUGGAAACUGGGAAACUUGAGUGCAGAAGAGGAGAGUGGAAUUCCACGUGUAGCGGUGAAAUGCGUAGAGAUGUGGAGGAGCACCAGUGGCGAAGGCGACUCUCUGGUCUGUAACUGACGCUGAGGAGCGAAAGCGUGGGGAGCGAACAGGAUUAGAUACCCCAGUAGUCCCUGUCUCUUAACC